RNAcentral lists this ribosomal RNA (508 nucleotides) under uncultured fungus. RNAcentral's name for it is "SSU rRNA". It matches the Rfam family "Eukaryotic small subunit ribosomal RNA", at positions 569 to 1078 of the family's 1831-position model. The record is from RNAcentral. Lineage: Eukaryota; Fungi.
AGCAGCCGCGGUAAUUCCAGCUCCAAUAGCGUAUAUUAAAGUUGUUGCAGUUAAAAAGCUCGUAGUUGAAUUUCGGGAUCAAUUUAUCGGUCGUGCCUAUGGUAUGAACUGGUACAAUUGGUUUCUCCCUUCUGACGAAGCAUGAUGUCAUUAAUUUGGUGUCGUGGGGAAUCAGGACUGUUACUUUGAAAAAAUUAGAGUGUUUAAAGCAAGCAUUAGCUUGAAUACAUUAGCAUGGAAUAAUGAAAUAGGACGUUUGAUCCUAUUUCGUUGGUUUCUAGGAUCGACGUAAUGAUUAAUAGGGAUAGUUGGGGGCAUCAGUAUUCAAUUGUCAGAGGUGAAAUUCUUGAAUUUAUUGAAGACUAACUACUGCGAAAGCAUUUGCCAAGGAUGUUUUCAUUAAUCAAGAACGAAAGUUAGGGGAUCGAAGACGAUCAGAUACCGUCGUAGUCUUAACCAUAAACUAUGCCGACUAGGGAUCGGAUGAUGUUAAUUUUUUAAUGACUCA